This 428-nucleotide long non-coding RNA is filed under the name Helianthus annuus (common sunflower). The record is from RNAcentral. Lineage: Eukaryota; Viridiplantae; Streptophyta; Magnoliopsida; Asterales; Asteraceae.
GUUGAAGAAAGAAGAUAUUCUGCAAAUCAACAACACACAUCCAAAAUACUUCAUAAUUGGUGGAAAGGAGGCUGGCUACAUCUAUUGCCAUAAUUUGGUUCAUUUACAUGCUCUGCAAACAUCCUCAUAUUCAAGAUAAGGUUGAAUAAGAAAUCAAAGAAGCAACAAACAUGAGAAAUGAUAAGUAGCUUCAUGUAACUUGGAACAAAACUCUCACGACUCUAUCCUGCAUCUCAGUGGGAUACGGAGCUAAUCCAUGAUCUAGCAGACUGCAGACUCGUAUUUGGUGCAACUAGACAAAUUGAAGUUAUACGAGGAUAAGUAAUGGACAAAUGUCUCAACAAGCCACACGCGUGGACAAAUGCUAUAGGCUGUCAAUUUCAAGGCAUCUUGGUGGUGGGAUAAGACUUUGGGACCAAUAGGUCUUG